Molecule: ribosomal RNA, 122 nt
Filed under: Lepisosteus oculatus (spotted gar)
Lineage: Eukaryota; Metazoa; Chordata; Actinopteri; Semionotiformes; Lepisosteidae
Source: RNAcentral
GCCAGCAGCCAUAUCACUCUGCAACUCACAACUGGCAUUCCACUAAAGCUAAGCAGGUGUGAGCCUGGUCAGUACCUGGAUGGGACACCUCCUGGGAUAAAAAACUAAGGUUGCUCCUGGAA